AGUGAACGCUGGCGGUAGGCCUAACACAUGCAAGUCGAACGGUAGCACAGUAAGAGCUUGCUCUUACGGGUGGCGAGUGGCGGACGGGUGAGGAAUACAUCGGAAUCUACUUUUUCGUGGGGGAUAACGUAGGGAAACUUACGCUAAUACCGCAUACGACCUACGGGUGAAAGCAGGGGAUCUUCGGACCUUGCGCGAUUGAAUGAGCCGAUGUCGGAUUAGCUAGUUGGCGGGGUAAAGGCCCACCAAGGCGACGAUCCGUAGCUGGUCUGAGAGGAUGAUCAGCCACACUGGAACUGAGACACGGUCCAGACUCCUACGGGAGGCAGCAGUGGGGAAUAUUGGACAAUGGGCGCAAGCCUGAUCCAGCCAUACCGCGUGGGUGAAGAAGGCCUUCGGGUUGUAAAGCCCUUUUGUUGGGAAAGAAAAGCAGCAGGUUAAUACCCCGCUGCUCUGACGGUACCCAAAGAAUAAGCACCGGCUAACUUCGUG
RNAcentral lists this ribosomal RNA (492 nucleotides) under uncultured bacterium. RNAcentral's name for it is "partial 16S ribosomal RNA". It matches the Rfam family "Bacterial small subunit ribosomal RNA", at positions 29 to 507 of the family's 1533-position model. The record is from RNAcentral.